RNAcentral lists this ribosomal RNA (428 nucleotides) under uncultured bacterium. RNAcentral's name for it is "partial 16S ribosomal RNA". It matches the Rfam family "Bacterial small subunit ribosomal RNA", at positions 354 to 796 of the family's 1533-position model. The record is from RNAcentral.
GUAGGGAAUAUUGGACAAUGGGGGCAACCCUGAUCCAGCGACGCCGCGUGAGUGAUGAAGGCCUUCGGGUCGUAAAGCUCUGUUGCAGGGGAAGAACACAAUGACGGUACCCUGCUAGAAAGGAUCGGCUAACUUCGUGCCAGCAGCCGCGGUAAGACGAGGGAUCCUAGCGUUGUUCGGAAUUAUUGGGCGUAAAGUGGGUGCAGGUGGCUUGGUAAGUCAGAUGUGAAAGCCUGGGGCUUAACCCCAGAAGUGCAUUUGAUACUGCUGAGCUUGAGUGCUGGAGAGGCUAUUAGAAUUCCUGGUGUAGUGGUGAAAUACGUAGAUAUCAGGAGGAAUACCGGAGGCGAAGGCGGAUAGCUGGCCAGACACUGACACUCAGACCCGAAAGCGUGGGGAUCAAACAGGAUUAGAAACCCCAGUAGUCC